CUGAGUGAGCUUGAGAAAGGUGGAAGAAUGCACUGAGCCUGCCAUAUGCUGUUUACAGUACAGAAACGUGAUUGAGGCUCAUGUCUGAUUUCAUGAUUAGGACAUUUGUUAAGAGAUGAGGAGUCUAGGGACAUUUUAAUUACUGGUGUAAUGUCAUAAGAAGAGACUGAGAACAUCAUCUUCCUCUGAGUGCCCUGUAUUUGAGGAAGCCUGAACUCAGAUACUUUCCCUCAGCAUGAACAGUCUAACUCCUGAGGUCCUGUAAUGGCUGUUCUACUUCCAGCAACUUUACAAAUUCAAUUUUGUGUGCCACAGUAUCAGUUCAUAAGAAUAAAAGGCCUUCUGGUUGUCAGAACUAGACCAUCCAGUUCAGCCUGGAGAAGAAGAAGGUUGUAUCUGUGUGUGCAAAGGGAAGACUGCAGGGAGAGACUGUUUCAUGUCUGAACAGAAUUGCCUAAGAUCCAGGAAGACAGACCAGUCUCAAGAAUAUUCUUCACUCCUUUCCUGAGCUUCACAAAGCAGAUUUGCUAGAGGUCCUUUCCCAUAGGGAAAAAAAAAGUUGCUAAGAAUUAAGUUUUAAUUAUGCCAGAAAAGAGAAGCAAAUACAAGGUAUGGUAUGAAAGCAGUGUACCUGAUAAACACACUUGUCAUGAUGUCAGAAUUUGUUGCUAUGAAUGUGAUGUCAUAAUGUAAACAGUGUCAGAAGUAAUGUUUUUAUGAAACACUGGGCAGAGUUUGUCUCUUAUAGCAAUGUAAUCUGGAAUUACUUUUUAGACGUGUGUACAAUCAAGAUUCAGAAUUAAGGUCAAGAUUCCUGUCUGUAUUGGGUUUACACGGCAAGGUUUUGGUAGCAGGGGGGCUACAGGGGUGGCUUCUGUGAGAAACUGCUACAAGCUUCCCCUAUGUCCG
This is a long non-coding RNA of Harpia harpyja (harpy eagle), 909 nucleotides long. RefSeq lists it as uncharacterized. Lineage: Eukaryota; Metazoa; Chordata; Aves; Accipitriformes; Accipitridae. The transcript is spliced from 4 exons. The record is from RefSeq and is a predicted model, not a curated record.